UGGAAAUUAUGAAAGGUAACUGGAUGUUUGUUUAGGGGGGGUGAUUGGAAACAUUCUAAUUUAACACUUUAAUAUUAUGUUUUUAUAAUGUGUUUUUGAGAGAGAGGAAUGUACAAAGGCUACAUGGGGGCACUGAUGAAGUGCUGAUUUCAGAGUGCAUCUGAGGCAUGUUGAAAUUUUGAGAAGGGUGGUGUUUUGUUUUGCACAUUGCCAGUGAUAAGUGCCCAAAAUAAGCUCACCAGCUGAAUAUAGACAAUCUAAAGAUCUCUAACAGGUUCAUUGACAUAAAUGAUCCCAUGAGUUGAUCCAA
Molecule: non-coding RNA, 310 nt
Organism: Gopherus agassizii (Agassiz's desert tortoise)
Lineage: Eukaryota; Metazoa; Chordata; Testudines; Testudinidae
Source: Ensembl